AUGAACGCUAGCGACAGGCCUAACACAUGCAAGUCGAGGGCAGCACAAGGAGCAAUCUGAGGUGGCGACCGGCGCACGGGUGAGUAACACGUAUGCAACCUGCCUGUAAGCGGGGAAUAACCCGUUGAAAGACGGACUAAUACCGCAUAAUACUAAAUUACUGCAUGGUAAUUUAUUUAAACAUUUAUGGCUUACAGAUGGGCAUGCGCAUGAUUAGCUAGUUGGAGAGGUAACGGCUCCCCAAGGCAACGAUCAUUAGGGGUUCUGAGAGGAAGGUCCCCCACACUGGUACUGAGACACGGACCAGACUCCUACGGGAGGCAGCAGUGAGGAAUAUUGGUCAAUGGACGAGAGUCUGAACCAGCCAAGUCGCGUGCAGGAAGAAUGUCCUAUGGAUUGUAAACUGCUUUUGCAGGGGAAUAAAGUGCAUCACGUGUGAUGUUUUGUAUGUACUCUGCGAAUAAGGAUCGGCUAACUCCGUGCCAGCCGCCGC
RNAcentral lists this ribosomal RNA (493 nucleotides) under uncultured bacterium. RNAcentral describes it as "bacterial SSU rRNA". It matches the Rfam family "Bacterial small subunit ribosomal RNA", at positions 29 to 518 of the family's 1533-position model. The record is from RNAcentral.